Molecule: non-coding RNA, 119 nt
Filed under: uncultured Chlorophyceae
Lineage: Eukaryota; Viridiplantae; Chlorophyta; Chlorophyceae
Source: RNAcentral
AAGAGUGAAAAUUACAAAGAAAAAACAAAGAACAGAGAGAGCAAAGGGCAAAAGCACAGCUUUGUAAUGUAAUAGCCACACACUGCUUAGGAUUUUUUCUCUUUCUUCUCCUUUAGCAU